ACAGCAGUAGCCGCGGUAAUACGUAGGUCCCGAGCGUUGUCCGGAUUUAUUGGGCGUAAAGCGAGCGCAGGCGGUUAGAUAAGUCUGAAGUUAAAGGCUGUGGCUUAACCAUAGUACGCUUUGGAAACUGUUUAACUUGAGUGCAGAAGAGGAGAGCGGAAUUCCAUGUGUAGCGGUGAAAUGCGUAGAUAUAUGGAGGAACACCAGUGGCGAAGGCGGCUCUCUGGUCUGUAACUGACGCUGAGGCGCGAAAGCGUGGGGAGCAAACAGGAUUAGAUACCCCAGUAGUCCCUGUCUCUUAUACA
This 305-nucleotide ribosomal RNA is filed under the name uncultured bacterium. RNAcentral describes it as "partial 16S ribosomal RNA". It matches the Rfam family "Bacterial small subunit ribosomal RNA", at positions 506 to 808 of the family's 1533-position model. The record is from RNAcentral.